CUUGCAGUUUACAAAUUUCACUUCAAUACCUUUCAUAUGCUCAGCCAAUGAAAAAAUUUCUAAGCGUAAAAUGAAAAGGAUGUUCAAAACUAGAGAGCAGUUUAUGAUUCCCACGAUCUGAGUUCAGUUGAAGGUUGCACAGUAACUACCCACAUACCACCACUGCAUACAAAUUAAUAAUCGAAAAGAGGCCAAUUUAUGAAAGCAGACUCCGGGACGCGCUUGGAACCCAUCCUUCUUCACACAUUCGAUCCCGGACGCCCACUUUCAGGAGCCCAGUCUCCUGGCCGUUGCUCCUCUCUCUCCCGAUCGUAAUAUUUAAGAUAUUUACAAGAAUACCCACAAAAAAUGAAGAAGGAACAUAUUGAUAAGAUCUCAAACAGACGUGUCUCUAUUUUUACACCUGGUUGGGAGAUAUCUGUCGGAGUAAAAACUACUGAUCUAAGCCAACUGAUUCUCAAAGAGUGGAAAAAGAAGAAGCAUGAGCAGUGGCGCAUGAAAAAGGCUGUGGAAGAAUUAAAACCUUCAACAACUCCUCAGAUCAUACGUAUUUGGAAUAAAGUCCAACAAAUAA
Molecule: long non-coding RNA, 574 nt
Organism: Pyrus x bretschneideri (Chinese white pear)
Lineage: Eukaryota; Viridiplantae; Streptophyta; Magnoliopsida; Rosales; Rosaceae
Exons: 3
Source: RefSeq, a predicted model, not a curated record